Molecule: long non-coding RNA, 971 nt
Filed under: Fukomys damarensis (Damara mole-rat)
Lineage: Eukaryota; Metazoa; Chordata; Mammalia; Rodentia; Bathyergidae
Description: lncRNA (ENSFDAG00000023449.1)
Source: RNAcentral
GACGGCCAGAGGAGAAAUAGGUGUUGGUCCCCUAAAGUCUCCCUUGUAGUAUUCUCUUCUCAUUGUCAAGCACUGGGCUGUUCAGAGCCUUGUAGAGUCCUUUUCUGUCCCUACCAUCACAGGCAGGUGAAAGCCUUGCCCCUGAGCAGAUGACUUUACCCAUGUGGGUGCCCCUUGAGGCUAGUGUUGCAGGUAUUUGAAGGCAGGGGCUGUUCCUGCUGUUUGUUUGCUUCCAACUCCUAGAGCAGUAAUGGGGAACCUUUUAGAGCUUUCAGUGAUACAAACAGCCCACUGCAGCCUGCAUACUGUAGGUUUACCAGCUGUGCUAUAUUAACUAUUGGUCACCUUGGAACGCCCAGCUGAACUGAAUCAGUACGGUUCUGGGUGUGGAAGACUCACGUGAGAGUUGUGGCCAGUGGCAUAAAAAGAGCCCUGGAGGGGAAGGUGUUUAGCUGUAGGUUUUCUUGGAGAAGCUUGCUGAGGCUGGUUUUCCUGAUGCAAAUUUGGCUUUGCUCGGCACUGAAGGAGCUCAGGUCCUCGCUAUCGCCAAGGACGGCUGCUGUUCUCCAGUGCAGGGAAGAACACAGACAGCGGGAAAGACACGGGGGACUUUCUACACCAUGACUCCGAAUGCAAAAAUGAGUUCAGUCCCGGAUGCCCAGGACGGCCCUCUUCCACCUCACAGGAAAUCACACAAAGGAUCCCAUGGCCAGGCUAUAAGCACUCCUUCUGCAGCGUCCGGACUAGGAGCUGCUGGUCCCCAGGUGCUGUCUGUUUGCAGUCUUAUCCGGAGGGAUGAAAAGCAACAGGGAGGACAGUUGUCAGCGGCCAAUUCCAGCCAGAGCUUCUCUCGGUGCCCACAGGGACAGGGAGGUGAAGUUGAACGACACCAGGGCUGGCAGGGCUCAUGGCUCAUGGGUGCGCUCUCAGGUCCUCCAGGUCUCGAGGCAGGUCUGAAGGCCAGUGCGUGA